This 253-nucleotide ribosomal RNA is filed under the name uncultured bacterium. RNAcentral describes it as "partial 16S ribosomal RNA". It matches the Rfam family "Bacterial small subunit ribosomal RNA", at positions 524 to 776 of the family's 1533-position model. The record is from RNAcentral.
UACGAAGGGGGCAAGCGUUAUCCGGAUUUACUGGGUGUAGAGGGAGCGUAGACGGCGCGGCAAGUCUGAAGUGAAAGGCAGGGGCUUAACCCCUGAACUGCUUUGGAAACUGCCAUGCUAGAGUGCUGGAGAGGUAAGUGGAAUUCAUAGUGUAGCGGUGAAAUGCGUAGAUAUUAGGAGGAACACCAGUGGCGAAGGCGGCCUACUGGACAGUAACUGACGUUGAGGCUCGAAAGCGUGGGGAGCAAACAGG